This is a long non-coding RNA of Lutra lutra (Eurasian river otter), 283 nucleotides long. RefSeq lists it as uncharacterized. The record is from RefSeq and is a predicted model, not a curated record. NCBI's taxonomy places the organism in Eukaryota, Metazoa, Chordata, Mammalia, Carnivora, Mustelidae. The transcript is spliced from 3 exons.
CAGGACGCGGCUUGUUCGGCUGCGGGAAUCUCCUUCCCUGAGAGACACCUGGGAGCCUUGAUUAUUGGAAGAGCUGAGGAAUCUGGAAGCCUGGCAAGGGCUGAUUCCAGCAUGCUGGUAUCCUAAGAGACACCUGGGAGCCUUGAUGGCUGCAGAAGCGCCGAACUUCAGAAAACCACUAGCUAGAAGAACCUUAAAGAGUAAAUGGAAAAUGUCCUCCCCAAGUGGUGGCAUAGUCAGCAGGAUAAACUUUAACUGGCUGGACACUGAGUGACCUAGGACA